CGGUAAUUCCAGCUCCAAUAGCGUAUACUAAAGUUGUUGCAGUUAAAAAGCUCGUAGUUGGAUUUCUGCGGGGACGGAGCGGCCGGACGCAACUUGCGUCUCGAGCUAGCGCUUUCCCCGCAUCCUGCCGCGAACCGUGCUACCAUUAGUUUGGUGGCGCUGGGGAUCGGCUCGAUUACUUUGAGAAAAAUAGAGUGUUCAAAGCAGGCCACACGCCUUGAAUAAGUUAGCAUGGAAUAAUGACUAAGGACUUUGGUUCUUUUCGUUGGUGUUCGGGACUGAAGUAAUGAUUGAUAGGGACAGUUGGGGCGGUCCGUAUUCCAAAGCGAGAGGUGAAAUUCUUAGACCUUCGGAAGACGAACAGCUGCGAAAGCGUUCCGCAAGGAUGUUCCCUUUGAUCGAGAACGAAAGUUGGGGGAUCGAAGACGAUCAGAUACCGUCGUAGUCUCAACUAUAAACUAUACCAGCUAGGGAUCGGCCAACGUUUAAUUAUUCGACUUGGUCGGCACCUUAUGAGAAAUCAAAGCAUCUGGGUUCCGGGGGGAGUAUGGUCGCAAGGCUGAAACUUAAAGGAAUUGACGGAAGGGCACCACCAGGCGUGGAGCCUGUGGCUUAAUUUGACUCAACACGGGAAAACUUACCAGGUCCAGACAUAGGAAGGAUUGACAGAUUGAUAGCUCUUUCUUGAUUCUGUGGGUGGUGGUGCAUGGCCGUUUUUAGUCGGUGAAGUGAUUUGUCUGCUUAAUUGCGUUAACGGACGAGACCCCAGCCUGCUAAAUAGCGCGGCCGAGCUUUGCUCGGUACGAGCUUCUUAGAGGGACCAUGAUGCGCGAUAGCACAAGGAAGUUUGGGGCAACAACAGGUCUGUGAUGCCCUUAGAUGUUCUGGUCCGCACACGGGCUACACUGGCGCCUGCAACGAGCAUAUCAGCUGGCCCGAGAGGGUCUUGGCUAAUCUUUGGAACCGGCGCCGUGCUUGGGAUUGACCAUUGCAAUUGUUGGUCAUGCAACGAGGAAUGCCUUGUAAACGCGAGUCAUCAGCUCGCAUUGAAUACGUCCCUGCCCUUUGUACACACCGCCCGUCGCUCCUACCGAUGAAUGUUCCGAUGAAAUUUUCGGAGAGCGCCGGAGAACGGGGCUCUGCCCUGCAGAACUGGAGGCUCAAAGUCACUUAAAUCUGAACAUUUCGAGGAAGGAGAAGUCGUAACAAGGUAACC
RNAcentral lists this ribosomal RNA (1216 nucleotides) under uncultured Rhizaria. Its description in RNAcentral is "SSU rRNA". It matches the Rfam family "Eukaryotic small subunit ribosomal RNA", at positions 577 to 1804 of the family's 1831-position model. The record is from RNAcentral.